Asparagus officinalis (garden asparagus) is the source of this 854-nucleotide RNA transcript. It is a transcript of the gene named beta-glucosidase 18-like, with no coding region annotated. The record is from RefSeq and is a predicted model, not a curated record. NCBI's taxonomy places the organism in Eukaryota, Viridiplantae, Streptophyta, Magnoliopsida, Asparagales, Asparagaceae. The transcript is spliced from 7 exons.
CUCAUCUUCGAGCUACUAAUGUCGGCGUCAUGCUACUCUCGUUGCCAUUCCAGUCUUGUUCGUCGUCGUCAAGCUACUAAUCUCGUCGUCAAGGUGCUGCGGAUAACAUCGAUUGCUGCAUUAAUCACGAUCCAUUGCUCUAGCUCGAUCCCUGAGUGUUGGUUGAAGAAACAAAAGGAUGUCCUAUUUCCUGCUUUACAAGAGACUGGGGAAAAUGUUAUCUGGACUUCUAGGCUUAUUUUUGGAAAAGGAGAGAUUGAAGGUGGAUAUCUAGAAGGCAACAAAAGUCUGAACAAUUGGGACGUCUUUACUCACAUGCCAGGAAAUAUCAAGGAUGGGAGCACUGGAGAUGUUGCUGAUGAUCACUUCCACCGAUACAUGAUUCUGUCAUCUGCCGCCCCCAGAUAUUUUGCUAGGCUAUAAUUGCAGAUCUCGUCAAAUUUUAGAAUUUAGCUGGCUGAAAACAUCAGAAGAGGUUUUGAUGUAGGGGAUAUAAAGACUUAAAUAGGAGAAUGCGGUCAAGAUGGCUUUGAUAUAUGAAUCUUUUGAACCGAAAUUGAUGAAAGCCAAGAUUAAGAUUGAUACUGACAGGUUCCUAGUGAGUAUUUGACGUUGAGGAAUAAGUUUUUGGAAACAAAUAGAGAAUAUAGUCUUUGACCGAGAAGUUUCAUGUUUUGUAAUCAAAUGUUGAUGUACAUUGUUUGAAUGUUAGUUCGGUACAAUAUUUUCUGAGUUGAAAUGUUGGUAGUGUGGAUUUAAUACUUUGUAGUUUUUAUACUAUACUGAUGUAUGUUGGCACUUAUCAUUAUGGUUGAUUAUGCUCAACAUAAUCACUUUUAUAUUGUGUAUUAAAA